GGAGGGUGCAAGCGUUAAUCGGAAUUACUGGGCGUAAAGCGCACGCAGGCGGUUUGUUAAGUCAGAUGUGAAAUCCCCGCGCUUAACGUGGGAACUGCAUUUGAAACUGGCAAGCUAGAGUCUUGUAGAGGGGGGUAGAAUUCCAGGUGUAGCGGUGAAAUGCGUAGAGAUCUGGAGGAAUACCGGUGGCGAAGGCGGCCCCCUGGACAAAGACUGACGCUCAGGUGCGAAAGCGUGGGGAGCAAACAGGAUUAGAUACCCUGGUAGUCCACGCUGUAAACGAUGUCGACCUUGGAGGUUGUGCCCUUGAGGCGUGGCUUCCGGAGCUAACGCGUUAAGUCGACCGCCU
Molecule: ribosomal RNA, 349 nt
Filed under: Enterobacteriaceae bacterium SL4_YG8
Lineage: Bacteria; Pseudomonadati; Pseudomonadota; Gammaproteobacteria; Enterobacterales; Enterobacteriaceae
Description: bacterial SSU rRNA
Rfam family: Bacterial small subunit ribosomal RNA
Source: RNAcentral